ACGUACACUCCUACGGGAGGCAGCAGUGAGGAAUAUUGGACAAUGGGUGGAAGCCUGAUCCAGCCAUCCCGCGUGCAGGAAGACGGCCCUAUGGGUUGUAAACUGCUUUUAUCUGGGGAUAAACCUACUUACGUGUAAGUAGCUGAAGGUACCAGAAGAAUAAGCACCGGCUAACUCCGUGCCAGCAGCCGCGGUAAUACGGAGGGUGCAAGCGUUAUCCGGAUUUAUUGGGUUUAAAGGGUCCGUAGGCGGACUGAUAAGUCAGUGGUGAAAUCCGACAGCUUAACUGUCGAACUGCCAUUGAUACUGUUAGUCUUGAGUAAGGUUGAAGUGGCUGGAAUAAGUAGUGUAGCGGUGAAAUGCAUAGAUAUUACUUAGAACACCAAUUGCGAAGGCAGGUCACUAAGUCUUAACUGACGCUGAUGGACGAAAGCGUGGGGAGCGAACAGGAUUAGAAACCCGUGUAGUCCCAUG
This 474-nucleotide ribosomal RNA is filed under the name uncultured organism. RNAcentral describes it as "partial 16S ribosomal RNA". It matches the Rfam family "Bacterial small subunit ribosomal RNA", at positions 329 to 799 of the family's 1533-position model. The record is from RNAcentral.